This 253-nucleotide unclassified non-coding RNA is filed under the name uncultured Parcubacteria group bacterium. Its description in RNAcentral is "contains 16S-23S intergenic spacer region". It matches the Rfam family "Bacterial small subunit ribosomal RNA", at positions 524 to 776 of the family's 1533-position model. The record is from RNAcentral.
UACAGAGGCCCCAAGCAUUACCCGGAAUUACUGGGCGUAAAGGGUGCGUAGGUGGUCGUAUUAGUCGUCUGUGAAAUCUCCCGGCUCAACUGGGAAAACGCGGGCGAAACGGUACGACUAGAGAGCGUGAGAGGUACAUGGAACUCAUGGUGUAGGGGUGAAAUCCGUUGAUAUCAUGGGGAACACCGAAAGCGAAGGCAAUGUACUGGCGCGUUUCUGACACUCAAGCACGAAAGCGUGGGUAGCGAACGGG